UUUUUUUUAAGAAUCACAUCCCAUUUAUUGAUGGACCAAUGGUCAAUAUAAAUAUGCUGAUAUUUUUGGCAUUCCCAAAUAGAUCAAAUCAGAUUUACAAACCAUUUAGUCAUAUGUUUAUAUAUACAAAAAGUACGCCCAUUUACACAAAGAAGAAAUUUAAAACAAUACUAAUUUAUACAACUAAUAAUAUUCAUACAACCAAUAUCGACAUAUUUAUCGCCUCCAUCCAUGUAGCUGUUUUGUCUCCUCUAUCCUAGCAACAAUUCCGUCCCCUCCAACCUUGUAGCUGUUAUUUCGAGUUGGUUUGGCGCGGCGCAAUUGCCUUGUUUUUCCUAGAAAAAACAAGACAUAAAAUAGAUCGUUAUCCAAAAAGAUGAAAGUACGUUACAUAGAGGCAACUUGGUCAAUAAGCGAAUUCUAGAAAUAAACAGGACUUACUAAUAAUCAGUGGACCAUAAUAUUGUUCCCUAGAAAUAAGGCUGAUUAUACUGACAGACACAAACAGCCCACCAAAGAAGCUCAAUAACUAGUUAUUAUUAAUCAACAAGCACAUGCAUAUCUCGAAAAAUUCUAGAGAAAGGAUGCUUUAUUUUUGGUAUACGCUAAUUGUAGAUUAGCACUAUAGCAUAAAGAAUGGAAAAAUGACCAUCGGAAAUAGUAUGAGCUGAUGCAUGUUAUAAACUGCAAGGAUAAGGCAUGGUUGACGGCUAGCUUCUUCCUGUUUGCUAGUUCAUGUGCGUUAAACUGCAAACACAUAGAGAAGCAAAUCAGAUAGAGGAUAAACUCGCUCCGGCUAGCGGCCUUCCUCCAAAGCAUACGCUGUUGUCUUGAUGAGAAAAUGAUUUAUGGAACAACUAAAUGCUUUAAAAAAAACUUUAGAUCCAGACAGAGACAAGAAAGGGGCGUGUGAUCUACCUGCAGGAGCCUCGAUUCGUUGUCCUACUCGCGCGCGAUUGAUGUCGUGCUGGAGUUGAAGUUGGGCCACGGAACUGCGGAUGAAGUUGAGCCACGGUGGAGAGUGAGGGAAAGCACAGAGCAGAGGAAAGAAAGAAGAUGAGAAGCUCACCGCUGUCCAUAAGCCAGAUCCACCACGGCUGUAUCCACCAUGGUAGAUCCACCUCUACCUCCACACGGAUGUAUCCACCAGGGUUGCUCAUGUGACAGCUCUUAGAGAUCCAGAGCAGCAAGCUAAACUUAGAUAAAAUAGAAAGCAGAGAAGAGAGCUUGCUGGGAUGGGGUUCGGGGCGGCGGGGUGGGAAUGGCUGAGGGCGUGAUGCAGACAGGGUAGAGUAGCGUUAGGGUUCGUAGACUUUUAUUCCACACAUGUGGAUGGUCGGUCGUCAGAUAAAAUGGAUGGAUGAGAUCGCCUAUGGAGUUAGGUGGGCCUUGAGCCUUUAGGUUCAACUGAGGUUGUUCAGCCCUUUACUGUUUAGUGUUUUCUACUUUUGAGAAAUUUAAAAUUUAAAUUUGAGAAAUUCAAACAUAGUUAAAUUUGACAAAAUGUUCUUAAAUAAAAAGGUUAUCAACUAAAAACAUUUAUUACUUUUCCAGAUCUACAAAUUUCAUUUUGGUCAUUUUUUCAUGCAUCUUUGUUUGAACAAUUCAAAAUUUAAAUAUUUAAAAAUGACUACUUCAAACAAAAUAUUUAAAGAGUAAAUCAUUUUAUCUAAAAAAGUCAUCAACAACAAAGUUGUAGAAAUCAUUAAUAUCUAAAACUUUUAUUUUGGUCAUUUAUCCAUUCGAUAAAGUGAUAGCAACAUUGUUCAUAAAUUUUACAAAUCCCUCGUAUGGUUUCAUAAACUAUAAGAGAGAUAUGUAAAUUUUGUGAACAAUAUUACUAUCACUUUCUCGGAUGAACAAAUACCUAAAAUAAAAGUUGUAUAUAUUGAUGAGUUCUACAACUUUUAUGUUCAUGAAUUUUUCGAAUGAAAUCUUUAACCGCUUAAAAUAUUGUUUGAAGUUGUUAUUUUUUAAAAUUCAAAUUUCAAUUGAUAAAACAAAGUCACAUGAAAGUUUAUCAAAAAUAAUAGCUGUAAGAACACAAUAAAUUAAUAGAUAAUGAUUUUAAAAAAAAUUAGGAAAAAGAAUCAUCUCAUUUGGAGUUAGCAUGAGAGAAAAAGACUUGUUACAAAUUUUGACUACAGAUUAAAAAGAGAAAAACUUAUGUUCAUGUUCUUUAUUUUUCAGUAUUUAAGCAAUUUAUUUUUCUACUAAAAACUCAUAUAAAAAGGUCAUGUCCGUAGGAAAAUAGGGUCUGAGCAUUAGUUUAUAUGGGGAAUUGGUGUUUUUAUUUUUUAAAAAAACAAAAUUUUACAUUUAUGAAGUUAUCGUGACUUUGUUUCUCCGUGACUGAGCUUUGGCUUGUACCUGAGGAACAUGUACAUGUUUAUGUAUACUAAAAGUCUAAAGAAACCAUUCUGGCCAUGAAGUACCAAUAGUUGCAGUUGUAAGCUUUUGUUUUUCCCUGUCGCAAGGUCUUGAGUUCGAACCCGUCCUCUACGCUAUUUUCAUAUUUCAUUUUAUAUUAAUUUAGAGAAACCAAGAAUAAAAUAUGUUAAAUAAACAAGGGUAGCAAGUUUGGUGUAGUGUUAAGGCGUGAGUUAGUCUUACAUGAGGUCUUGGGUUCAAUUCUAGUUGUUCCUUUUUUUUUCUUUCAAUUUAAUUUUAAUUUUAUCUAGAGAAACUAGGAAUAAAAUGUUGAAAUAGCUUAACAUAAAAUGUUUAUUUCAUAUAUUUUUUCCUUUUUAAUUUAAUUUUGGUUUAAAUAAUUUAUCAAAUCAUCUUUUAGGUUUAAUUCUUUUACAGCCAUCUUUUUUAUUUUUCUUUGCACUAAAUAUUGAUAGCGUGUCUAUUGUUAUGUGUUUACUAUAGAGUAUGAUGAAUUUAGAAUCAUACACUGUGACGAUCCAAAUAACCGUUACGAGUUAGUGGGCCGAGAAUAUCCAUUGGUGCACAUCCAUGACGGAAAAUAAUUAUCGUCACGGAUUGCGGCUGUUGGUGACGGUUUGUAAAUCCGUCAUCGAGAAUCCGUCACGGAUUAGCAAGUUUCUUGUAGUGUAGCGUAAACGUGGUGUUUAGGCUAGGGUACUCAUAGAUAUUCCCUGACUAGCUGGACCGUGGUAGUAGCAAGGAACGUGACAUUUCCGAGUUAUCUUUGAAGACCAUAUCUCGUUAGCAAGAAGGAUAGGGUUUAUAGGUGCGGGUUGAACAUCCUCUGUGGUGUCUAGAUUCCGAUAGCCUCCCCAAUAGAACAGUAGAUCAUACUUACCAAGGUUAGAAGGAGACUACGGUUGCAGUCUUCUGUAUUUAUCACUCACAUCGAGAAACAUUCUUUGUUGCCUAAAGGGUUAGUAGUAAUAGACCGGGUUAGUCAGAUGCACUCUUUCUCCUAGUGGUAAAAAAAUAAAUACGAUACUCUGGAUAACCUCUCGGGUGAAGUGCUCACCGAUAUCCGUGCGCUUGCGGAUCAAUUCCUUAUUGCGUUCCCAAAUAUCAACAAGCAUUUCUGGCACCGUUGCCGGGGAGAAAGACGGUUUGCUGAGAUAACCUUGAGUCUUACUACUAGCUUGUAUCUGUACUUUUAUCUUUUCUUAUCUUUUAUAUUCUGUAUUUAUUUUCUUUACUCUUACCUUAUGGAAAACCAAAAUUCUAAAUCGAUCCAUGAAUUUGCAACACCUUUAGAAACUGACCUUUUACCAUGGGAGUCGUCACAGCAUAUCCAAACAUCCCAGUAUAGGUUAAGUUCUAGGUUGAUUGCCAUGAUUCAAAACCUAUCUUUUUCGGGAAAGGAAGACGAAAACCCUUACCUUCAUAUUAGGGAUUUUGAGCAAACAUGUGAUUGUCUUCGCAUUGAAGGCAUUUCUGAUAAAACUUUAUGUUGGAAGCUUUUUCCUUUUUCUUUAAGGGGAGAAGCUAGACAAUGGUACAGUCAGAAGGUAAGUCAACAACGAGGUGAAUGUGGAGUUUUACGAGCCAACUUUUGUCUAGAUUUUUAUUCCCUCGACCGUAUCGGCGACCUUAGACUUGAAGUCCUAUCUUUUAAACAAAAAGAUAAUGAAACUUGGGAAAAUCCUAGAAACGUUUUUCUGAUCUUUUAGAAUCUGGUCCAAACCUUAAUCUUGAAGACCCUGUUCUUUUAUUUCACUUUUUUCGAGGUCUUCAGAAAGAUCAUAAACAAAUGCUACAUACAAUGUCUACAGGUUCUUUCUUUCGCAUCCCUACUGAUGCAGCUAGAGUGAUCUUAGAUAGAAUCCUAGAAGCUGAGAUGGAUAAUACCCUUCAUGAUGAAACCUACGAAGCCGAAGUAAACACUCUGCCAAAUUCUUCAUCUACUUUAGCUAUCCCAAGUUCUGAGCCACAAAAGGAAGAAAUUCCACCACCGGACUUCAUGCUGGAUAUAGAAUCUGAUCUUUUUGCCGAUUUUGGACACAUUUCAAACUAUCAUUCUACUAAUAGACCCCAAAACGGCCAUCUUAGCAUUUGUUUGCCAACUGAAUAUCAAUUGAGAGACCUUAUCUCAGUCAUGAGUAGCGAGUGGUUGGAGGAAUCAGAGCUUUCCUCUGAUGUGAUCCGUUUGGACACACCCUCUAUAACUAUAAGCUGUGCUUAUAAUUCUGAUCGAUUUGAUGCUCUCUAUAAUCCUGUUGUGGGGAUCAACAUCAUGUCUUAAUCUUUUGCACUUAAACUGUUUCAAAAUUUGUUCUUAACCCCCACAACAAAGGUCAUAAAGGAAUCUUCGGGACGAUUAGUUCCCUGUCUUGGAAUUAUUAAUGUCCUACCCAUUACGGUAGAAGGCUCCAUGGUUCAUUUGAACUCCUAUAUCUUUGAUACAUGGGACUUCGACCUGUUGAUAGGACAACCUUUUAGGAGACUCCUUUAUGAAGGUCAUACUAGAAAGCUACAUAUUUCUUUUGGGAAAACUUUUAAAUUUCCAAUACAAUUUCACACUCCUUAAACAAUAAGGCCGAGUCAUAUCUUUUGCCUGAUCCUAUGGAGGAGGUAAAGGCUGCAUCUCUAGAGCUUUUAGAUGAACCAGACUUAGAAGACGAAACUCCUUUCUUCACAGAAGAAGAAGCUGAACAUUCUAAACCUGAACCCUUAGAUGAGUUUGCAGAAACACCAAGACCUCCCAUAGAGCUUAAAACUUUACCACCCGGUCUUAUCUAUGCUUUCCUAAACAAUAAUUCAGAGUUUCCUAUGAUCAUUAGUGAUAAACUCACUCAGGAGCAAACUCUACGAUUAAUGACCAUUCUUGAGAAACAUCACUCAGUUUUCGGCUACUCACUCCAAGAUCUUACAGGAAUCAGUCCUAUGAUUUGUAACCAUCGUAUUCCAACAGAUCCUUCUGUUUCACCUUCUCGAGAACCCCAACGUAGACUUAACAACACUAUGAGAGAGGUAGUUAAAAAGGAAGUUAUAAAGUUACUGCAUGCAGGGAUUAUAUAUCCUGUGCCGCAUAGUGAGUGGGUGAGCCCAGUUCAAGUUGUGCCUAAAAUGGGGGGCAUGACUGUUAUUAUGAAUGAAAAGAACGAGCUAAUUCCGCAACGCACUGUCACAGGAUGGCGGAUGUGCAUAGACUAUAGAAAACUAAACAAAGCCACGAGAAAGGAUCACUUUCCUUUACCUUUUAUAGAUGAGAUGCUAGAGCGAUUAGCGAACCAUUCGUUCUUCUGUUUCUUAGAUGGAUAUUCAGGGUAUCACUAAAUCCUGAUCCAUCCCGAUGAUCAAAGAAAAACCACUUUUACAUGCCCAUAUGGAACUUAUGCUUACCGUUGAAUGUCUUUUGGGUUAUGUAAUGCACCAGCUUCUUUUCAAAGGUGCAUGAUGUCUAUAUUUUCUGAUAUGAUUGAAGAGAUUAUGGAAGUUUUCAUGGAUGAUUUCUCUGUUUAUGGAAAAACUUUUGAUAGUUGUCUUGAAAACUUAGACAAGGUUUUGCAAAGAUGUGAAGAAAAGCACUUAGUCCUUAAUUAGGAAAAAUGUCAUUUUAUGGUUAGGGAAGGAAUAGUGCUAGGACACCUAGUGUCUGAAAGAGGUAUUAAGGUAGACAAAGCUAAAAUUGAAGUAAUUGAACAACUACCUCCACCUGUGAAUAUAAAAGGAAUUCGAAGCUUUCUUGGCCAUGCUGGUUUUUAUCGCAGAUUCAUAAAAGAUUUUUCAUUCAUUUCUAGACCACUUACUCUUUUUCUAGCCAAGGAUGCUCCUUUCGAAUUUGAUAAUGCAUGUCUAACAUCUUUCAAUUUAUUAAAGAAAGCACUCAUCUCUGCACCAAUCAUUCAACCCCCUGAUUGGUCGUUGCCUUUUGAAAUUAUGUGUGAUGCUAGUGAUUAUGCUGUGGGGGUAGUUUUGGGACAAACUAAAGAUAAGAAGCAUCAUGCAAUUGCUUAUGCCAGUAAAACUUUAACAGGAGCUCAACUUAAUUAUGCAACCACUGAAAAAGAGCUUCUGGCUAUUGUCUUUGCCAUUGAUAAAUUUAGAUCUUAUUUAGUUGGAGCUAAAAUAAUUGUUUACACUGAUCAUGCUGCACUAAAAUAUUUGCUCACUAAAAAAGAUGCUAAACCUCGCCUGAUUAGAUGGAUUUUAUUACUUCAAGAAUUUGACAUAGAAAUAAAAGAUAAAAAGGGAGUAGAAAAUUCUAUUGCUGAUCACUUGUCUAGAAUGUAUUUUAAGAGUCCACAGGAAACCCCUAUCGAUGAUUCACUCCGGGACAACAUGCUCUAUGGGAUUAACAGGUCUGACCCGUGGUAUGCAGAUAUUGUUAAUUUUAUGGUUUCAGGGUAUGUACCACCAGGAGCAAACAAGAAGAAGA
RNAcentral lists this long non-coding RNA (6808 nucleotides) under Sorghum bicolor (sorghum). RNAcentral describes it as "long non-coding RNA (SBIC_LNC010709)". The stretch from base 1662 to 1936 matches the Rfam family "MIR821 microRNA precursor family". Lineage: Eukaryota; Viridiplantae; Streptophyta; Magnoliopsida; Poales; Poaceae. The record is from RNAcentral.